RNAcentral lists this ribosomal RNA (274 nucleotides) under uncultured bacterium. RNAcentral's name for it is "partial 16S ribosomal RNA". It matches the Rfam family "Bacterial small subunit ribosomal RNA", at positions 523 to 796 of the family's 1533-position model. The record is from RNAcentral.
AGACGAACCGUCCAAACGUUAUUCGGAAUCACUGGGCUUAAAGGGUGCGUAGGCGGCCGUACAAGUCGGGUGUGAAAUCCCUCGGCUCAACCGAGGAAUUGCGCCCGAAACUGUGCGGCUCGAGGAAGACAGAGGUGAGCGGAACUGGCGGUGGAGCGGUGAAAUGCGUUGAUAUCGCCAGGAACACCAGUGGCGAAGGCGGCUCACUGGGUCUUUUCUGACGCUGAGGCACGAAAGCUAGGGGAGCGAACGGGAUUAGAAACCCCAGUAGUCC